This 736-nucleotide ribosomal RNA is filed under the name Alteromonadales bacterium HOT4F3. RNAcentral describes it as "bacterial SSU rRNA". It matches the Rfam family "Bacterial small subunit ribosomal RNA", at positions 90 to 828 of the family's 1533-position model. Lineage: Bacteria; Pseudomonadati; Pseudomonadota; Gammaproteobacteria; Alteromonadales. The record is from RNAcentral.
GACGAGUGGCGGACGGGUGAGUAAUGCUUGGGAACUUGCCUUUGCGAGGGGGAUAACAGUUGGAAACGACUGCUAAUACCGCAUAAUGUCUUCGGACCAAACGGGGCUUAGGCUCCGGCGCAAAGAGAGGCCCAAGUGAGAUUAGCUAGUUGGUAAGGUAACGGCUUACCAAGGCGACGAUCUCUAGCUGUUCUGAGAGGAAGAUCAGCCACACUGGGACUGAGACACGGCCCAGACUCCUACGGGAGGCAGCAGUGGGGAAUAUUGCACAAUGGGGGAAACCCUGAUGCAGCCAUGCCGCGUGUGUGAAGAAGGCCUUCGGGUUGUAAAGCACUUUCAGUUGUGAGGAAAAGUUAGUAGUUAAUACCUGCUAGCCGUGACGUUAACAACAGAAGAAGCACCGGCUAACUCCGUGCCAGCAGCCGCGGUAAUACGGAGGGUGCGAGCGUUAAUCGGAAUUACUGGGCGUAAAGCGCACGCAGGCGGUUUGUUAAGCUAGAUGUGAAAGCCCCGGGCUCAACCUGGGAUGGUCAUUUAGAACUGGCAGACUAGAGUCUUGGAGAGGGGAGUGGAAUUCCAGGUGUAGCGGUGAAAUGCGUAGAUAUCUGGAGGAACAUCAGUGGCGAAGGCGACUCCCUGGCCAAAGACUGACGCUCAUGUGCGAAAGUGUGGGUAGCGAACAGGAUUAGAUACCCUGGUAGUCCACACCGUAAACGCUGUCUACUAGCUGUGUGUG